GCAGAUGUAGCCUAGCUGGUAAGACGCCGGCUUCGAAUGUAUUUUAUAUCUCCCGAGAGAGCCGGUGCGUGUAAGCGUUCGGGGGUUCGAGUCCCUCCAUCUGCG
Molecule: transfer RNA, 105 nt
Filed under: marine sediment metagenome
Description: tRNA-Ser
Rfam family: tRNA
About the family: Transfer RNA (tRNA) molecules are approximately 80 nucleotides in length. Their secondary structure includes four short double-helical elements and three loops (D, anti-codon, and T loops).
Source: RNAcentral